Panicum virgatum (switchgrass) is the source of this 423-nucleotide long non-coding RNA. RefSeq lists it as uncharacterized. The transcript is spliced from 2 exons. Lineage: Eukaryota; Viridiplantae; Streptophyta; Magnoliopsida; Poales; Poaceae. The record is from RefSeq and is a predicted model, not a curated record.
AUAUGGAGCACACAAGCUAAAUUAAGAAAAACUUUGAUUGAUUUUCUUAAUAUGGUAAUAGUUGAGGGCGUCAAUAAUUCCCACUUCAUUUUGUCAUGUGUUAACACAUCAACCUUGUGAUCCUCCUCAUCUUCUUCCUAGAGAAUGUUUGGACUACCCUGUUGUUAACCUGCAAUGUCAGAUAUUGCAGGCUCUGUUAUGAAGACAUGCUCUUUUUCUGUGGAUGUUCGGAGACUUAUUCAAACUCUACCUUAUGGUAGUUGUUAGGUUCCUUUCUCCCAAGUAGCUCAUAGUGCAACCUGCCAAAAUUAGAAUCGAACUGUUUCCCAUUGCAUACAUAAUGUAUUGAAAUAACAUAAUGUCUUAAUUAUUGAUGUAUUCUUCUUUUUUACUAUGCAUACCUACCAUGUUAUUAUGAUCAAA